GCCAGGUGUGGUGGCGCACGCCUGUCAUCUCAGCUACUCAAGAGGCUGAGGCGGGAGAAUCGCUUGAGCCCAGGAGGUGGAGGUUGCAGUGCGCUGAGAUUGCGCCACUGCACUCCAACCUGGGUGACAGAGUGAGACUCUGUCUCAA
Unclassified non-coding RNA from Pongo abelii (Sumatran orangutan), 148 nucleotides. It matches the Rfam family "Metazoan signal recognition particle RNA". From Rfam's summary of the family: The signal recognition particle (SRP) is a universally conserved ribonucleoprotein. It is involved in the co-translational targeting of proteins to membranes. NCBI's taxonomy places the organism in Eukaryota, Metazoa, Chordata, Mammalia, Primates, Hominidae. The record is from Ensembl.